RNAcentral lists this ribosomal RNA (440 nucleotides) under uncultured bacterium. RNAcentral's name for it is "bacterial SSU rRNA". It matches the Rfam family "Bacterial small subunit ribosomal RNA", at positions 339 to 796 of the family's 1533-position model. The record is from RNAcentral.
CUACGGGAGGCAGCAGUAAGGGAUAUUGGUCAAUGGGCGCAAGCCUGACCCAGCAACGCCGCGUGAAGGAUGAAGUUUUUCGGAAUGUAAACUUCGUAAGAAUAGGAAGAAUUAAUGACGGUACUAUUUAUAAGGUCCGGCUAACUACGUGCCAGCAGCCGCGGUAAUACGUAGGGACCAAGCGUUGUUCGGAUUUACUGGGCGUAAAGGGCGCGUAGGCGGCAUGGUAAGUCACUUGUGAAAUCUCCGAGCUUAACUCGGAACGGCCAAGUGAUACUGCUGAGCUAGAGUGCAGAAGGGGCAAUCGGAAUUCUUGGUGUAGCGGUGAAAUGCGUAGAUAUCAAGAGGAACACCUGAGGUGAAGACGGGUUGCUGGGCUGACACUGACGCUGAGGCGCGAAAGCUAGGGGAGCAAACGGGAUUAGAAACCCUAGUAGUCC